AGCAGGCUUCAGGCUCCGAGCUGUCAGCACAGAGUCUGAUGCGGGGCUCGAAUCCAUGAACUGUGGGAUCAUGACAUGUGCCAAAGUCGGAUGCUUAACUGACUGAGCUACCCAGGUGCCUCAAGUCCAUUUACUCUUGACAGAGCUUACAACUUUUUUCAUCUAUGAUAAUCUUGAACUCUAGGCCAAAAAAACCUGUCAUCCUUGCCUUGUUCACAUUAAUAAAAAUUAAUCAAUGAGAUUCCUUCAGCCCAUCAGUUCACUACUCACUAGCAUGAGCUCAGGUAGCAUUAGAGGCAGUAGCAUGGGGCCUAUUGUACAGCUUUUCAGAUCAUUAGUGCUAAACAUUAAGGUCUGGGGAAGGUUCUGGCUUUUGCCUUCUCAAAGGUCUACAAAGUUUUCACUUUCUGAUACAAAUUCCAGUGUUAACGGAUCGAAGUCCAGUGAUUGUAAUGAACUAUGUGCCAGACUCUUCUGGGUAUUAUCGCAAAUACUGCUUCCAGCCAACCUUAGAAGUGAAGUACUGUCAUCAUUCCUGUUUUACAGAAGCACAAAGAAGUUAAGUAACUUGCCCAGGUUCACACCAAGAUUUGAAGCCAGGUAGUCUUACUGCAGAGCCUAUGUGCUUAGCCAUCUCCAAUGCUGGCCUCAUGCUCAUUCGUUUGCCUGGAUCUUACCAGAUGCAUCCAGAUUCCCUGUCUAUGCCAAGAACAGUGUCUUUCUCAUAACAGGUGUGCAGUAAAUACUGAGUUGGUGCUUGAAGCAGAGAGCACAGUGAGUAAAGUAGUUGUGCAUUUUGUUGUUUUGUGAUGCAACCUGUAUUCAAUACUGUACCAGAUUCACUCUGUAGUUAUGCCGGGGCCCAUUAGGUGCAGUGCAAAGCAUGUGGGUGAAAGGCUUUCCUUUCUAAAAUGAUAUUGGUUGUCCCUAGAGAUCUCUGUCUCUACAUCUUAGAUUAGUUAGUGUGGUUUGGUUAUAGAAAUAUAUAUAGCAAAAAUGACAUAAAGUUGAAAAUAAAUUUAAGAUUAAUCAAAUUGCUGAUGACAUGGUUCUGCUGUUUUACAGGUGAGACACUCCUACCUGCUUGAUAUAUUUUUUAAAGAUUAAAAAAAAUGUUUAUUUACUUUUGAGAGAGAGAAACUGCAAGCGGGGGAGGGGCAGAGAGAGAAAGGGGGACAGAAGAUCCCAAACAGGCUCUGCACUGACAGCUGCUAGCCCAAUGUGGGGCUCGAACUCAUGAACCAGGAGAUCAUGACCUGAGCCAAAGUCUGAUGCUUAACCGACUGAGCCACCCAGGUGCCCCUCUGCUUGGUAUUUUAAUUUAGAUCAGUUUGCUCCUAUUUUUCUCUCCAUAUUACUUUCCUUUCCCCAUUUGUGUCUUUUUGCUACAACGUCUCUUUGUACACAUAACUUUAGUUCUGUUAUGGUUAUAGGGGCCAGUUAUGCAUGAGAAGAGAUAGAAUUGGGAGCUGAUAAUGUUACUUACAGCAGUUAAGAUUUUUUUUAAUUGAAAUUGCUUGAGAAUUGCUUUGAUGGCCUGGCUUCUCUUCAUGUCCCAGUUUUAUUGCUAGAUUUCUUGCCACUUUAUUGCCUUAUUCUCCAUUUUUCUUCCCUAUGUUCUAGUCACAGAGAUUUACUCAGUAUACCCCAAAAGUUCUUUCUAGGGCCUUUCCUCAAAACUUUUCUUACCGGGAGGUUCUCUGCAUAUGCCCAUUAAUUUAAGUACUACCUUCCCACAAAGAGCCAGUUCACAUGCCACCUCCUCAAAGAAGUCAUUACAGAUCCUCUUAGUCAAUUUCAAUAUACUCAUUCUUCCAUUAAAUCAUUAUACCCUCAUUAGAGUGCUAAUUAAAGUUUAUUUAUUAAUUUUUUCGUUGUGUACACAUUCAUUGAGUGUCUACUGUGCAUAAAUUGUUCUGGGAGCUAGGGUAAGAGACUGUUAAGACAGUUUUCAAGAAGCUUACAGAAUAGUGGGGGAGGCAUAUGAGCAGGAUAGUUUCAGUACAGUGUGAUAAGUACAGUGGGUGUGUGCAGGAUUCUGUGGGAGCCCAGAGAGGGAGCAUCUAAUGUAGCAGGGGUUGGGGAAUUCCAGAAAGAUUUGAGCUGGACAUUGGAGAAAUGGAGGUAGAGAAAGGAAUUUCCCAGACUAAUGGAACAUCACAUUGUAAGUCACUGAGAUGUGAAAUGUCUUGCAUAUCUGAAGAAUAAGUAGCUCAGGCUGCAGUGUGGAUGGGGGAAGUGGCAGGAGAUGCUUUCAAGGAGGCAAGACAAUGGAAUCGUGAUGGACCUUUUGUGCCAAGCUAGGCACAUGAGCUUUCUGAAAGCAGUAUAGAGCCCUUGAAGGACUUUAUGUAGGGGACAACUCAGUAAGCCUUGAGUUGUUUUUCUCGAUGGUACGAAUCAAGUCUUAUACAUCAUGGUAUCACCUUAGCACCUAAUACACAGCUUGAUACUAGAGGCCAGUAAAAUUGAACUGGGUUUGCUGGGUACUGCUUUAAAUCUUUUCAAGAAUUAAUUUAUCUGAAAUAAUAACAGUAAUAGUGUUGAACACUUUUGCACUCUGUCAAAUCUAUAAGCAUUAUCUUACCUAAUCCUUACUACUCUCUAAGCAUAGGGGCUUAGAGCAUUUAAGUGAGGGGACCACCAUAAUAGUUAAGUCUGCUUAGGUUUGAAUUUCAGCUCCUCCAGUUACUGGUUUUGGACCUCAAAGUUACAUUUGUGCUUCAGUUUCCUCAUCUGUAAAAUUAUAAUGAUAAUAAUACCUCAUAGGGUAUUGUGAGGAGUAGUGAUACAUGUAAAAACAUGUAAAGUGGUUGGCCCUAUAGUUGCUAAGUGAUUACAUGCCCAAUAAAUAAUUAAUUUUUAGCUAUUAUUAAGAAACACACCCCAAAGUCACAGGCACAAUUAGCGGGAAAGCCCAAGAUGAACAAGGCAAUUUGACUUCAGAAUCUUUAAUUACUAUUUAUUCUAUGUUAUAACUGCUUCUGUGGUUAUAGUGAGAUGAGUAAAGAUGGGUUCCAAGCAGUGAAACAAAAUGAAGAAUUUAGUCAACAUGGGAAAUACCAUUUGGGGUAGGGAGUUCUUAGGGGCUCUUCAAAUUACCCUCACUUAAAGAACUCUUCCUUUGCUACCUUGCCUGCACUUUAGAGACUUAUGUGAGAAGUAUAUUUCUGUAAUUUAGGUAGAUGAUGUUAAUUCCAGAUUCAUAGUUCACAUAGCUAUUGAACCUAGAGACUGUUUUAUAAAGGUCUCCCUCUAGGAGUUGGUCUGCUAGUGCUGGCACCCAGUAUACAAUGUCAAGUCUUGUAGCUCUGUUCCUUUUCUCCAUACUCCCUAGAUUUUUCCAACUUUAGGACCCAAGUGGGAGUCUUAUGUUGGAGGAUGUUGUGCAAACCACAUGCGUAAAGAAAAUAAUUUACAUUUUUCCUUUCUUAGCUUCUGGAACAUCAGUGAUUCCAUCCUCCCACUUCUAUUGGGCAGAAAUUGAGGUAUUCUCCUUAUGCUCCCUCAUCUUCUCCAAAAGGCACCACACACACAUACACACACACACACACACACACACACACACACACACACACACACUCCUUGCCAUACAUGUCAGAGGGACCCAGCAUAACUGCUUUUUUUCUGAUUCAAGGUUCUAAGAACAUACUAAGUCUUUGGUAAUAGAGGUUCCCGCCAGCAAUUCACUUUUUCUUCUCUGUUCUUACUCUUUCCAGUCAUAACUGUCUUUCAGCUUUUUUUUUUUUUUCACCAAUUUAUCCCAUUAUCCCUUGCAUAGUGCUUGGUAUAUAGUAGGCAUGCAAUAAGUAGUUUUUGAAAGAAUAAGAGAAAGGCAGGAUGCAUUGUAUAUUCAAUACUUUAAUGAUAUUCAAUUACAGAAAAAUGUGCAAAAAUCUUGCCUUGCUUUAAGUUUCAUGGGAACAGAUUGGUGUUAGCAAGUUGGCCCCACCGUCACCUCCACUGCCACAUUAGAGCUCCCACAACUUCAGGAUUUAUCCUCCUGAGUAUAUGUAGUAAUGGGACUGAAUGGAUGCCUCACAAAUAGAGAUCUCCAGGUUUGGGGCAGGUCUGUCUCAUGAGCUUUGUUAUUUUUCCAAAUUCUUUUGCAAUUUCAUGACUUCAUAAUGGAAGAGUUUCCACAAAUUUAAGUCUGUAUGGAAAUUAAUAAGUCACAGGAGACAUAUUGAUUACUGUUAGAAAAGGGUGGGGGAAAAUAGAAGAUAUCCAGGGCCUAUGGUUCAGAAUAAAUAACCUUCAUAAUUCUGGUGUCUAUAAGGACUCAAAUUUGUGUAGACAGUGGUGCUGAGACAAACCCUCUUUCACUGUUUCCUAGGAAAACCGUUAGAGAUGUGAAAAAAGAGGCUUAAAUUUUAGGAGCUUAUGCUUGCCUGAAAGUCCAGACUCAUGUUUAGUCUGGGCCAUGAUGACACACCAGUAGACUAUCCAGACAUGUUCAAGGCUGUGAACCUGGUCAUUCAGGACUUUGUUUGACCUUGGAUCUCAUACAAUGUAUUGCAGUAUGCAGAAAUAGUGUGUCGAAAGAUGAAGAACAUCUCCUGAAGCCCAAGAAUGUCGCGCGCGCGCGCGCGUGUGUGUGUGUGUGUAUCUAUAACCUGGAGGUAAUCUCCAAGACUUCAAAUGAAAGUGAUACCCAGGCUUGAAUCUGGUGUGCUUCACGCACAAAUUUUGUUAACUGCUUGCUCUGUCUUCAAACCUCCUUAAAAAGGUUACUUUAAGGUUACUUUUCAUACCUCUAUAAGCAAUUAGAAGAAGAAGACCAAAUUAAACCCAAAGCAAGAAGAUUAAGAUAACAGCGGAAAUCAGCCAGAUAGAAAAGAGAUAGUUAAUAGAGAAAAUUGACAAAGCCAAAAGUCUGUCCUUUGAAAAGUAUAAUAAAAUUGAUGAACCUCUACCGUGAUUGAUAAGGAUAGAAAACAGAAAUUACCAACCUGAGGAAUGAAAGAAAUAUCACUAGAUCAUACUGACAUUAAAGGAAUAAUAAAAAAAUAAUAUGGAAAACAACAAUGUGGAAAUUUUAUACCAUUAAAUUCAACAAAUUAGAUGUUUCCAAAUACUUUAAAUCAUAACUUACUAAAGCUAAUAUAAGAUGGAAUAGAAAAUCUGAGUAACCCUUUAUCUACUUAAAAUUUUGAAUUUUUGAUUUAAAAAACCUUCCUGUGAAGAAAACUAUAGGUUCAGAUGAUCUCUCUGAGGAGUACUAUAAAACAUUUAAAGAAAAAACAAUAUGAAUGCUAAGAAAAUUUAGAAAAUAAAGGAGGAAGGAAUAUUUCUUAACUCAUUUUAUGAAGCAAGUAUUACCCGGAUACCAAACCUGAGAAAACUAUUUCAAAAAAAUGUUGCUGAUCAGUAUUUCUGUGAAUAUAGCCACUGCAAUAUAGUGAAUGUUUGUGUCCCUCCAAGAUUCAUGUGUUCAAAUCCUAACCUCCAAUGUGAUGGAGAAGUCAACAGUCUGCAACCUGGAAGAGGACCCUUACCAGACACUGAAUCUGCUGGUGCCUUGAUCUUGGACUUCAUACCCUCCAGAAUUGUGAGAAAUAAAUGUUUGUUGUUUAAAGUCA
Molecule: long non-coding RNA, 5582 nt
Organism: Felis catus (domestic cat)
Lineage: Eukaryota; Metazoa; Chordata; Mammalia; Carnivora; Felidae
Exons: 2
Source: RefSeq, a predicted model, not a curated record